Molecule: ribosomal RNA, 467 nt
Filed under: uncultured bacterium
Lineage: Bacteria
Description: partial 16S ribosomal RNA
Rfam family: Bacterial small subunit ribosomal RNA
Source: RNAcentral
ACGCACGCUGGCGGCGUGCUUAACACAUGCAAGUCGAACGGAAAGGCCCUGCUUUUGUGGGGUGCUCGAGUGGCGAACGGGUGAGUAACACGUGAGUAACCUGCCCUUGACUUUGGGAUAACUUCAGGAAACUGGGGCUAAUACCGGAUAGGAGCUCCUGCUGCAUGGUGGGGGUUGGAAAGUUUCGGCGGUUGGGGAUGGACCCGCGGCUUAUCAGCUUGUUGGUGGGGUAGUGGCUUACCAAGGCUUUGACGGGUAGCCGGCCUGAGAGGGUGACCGGCCACAUUGGGACUGAGAUACGGCCCAGACUCCUACGGGAGGCAGCAGUGGGGAAUAUUGCACAAUGGGCGGAAGCCUGAUGCAGCAACGCCGCGUGCGGGAUGACGGCCUUCGGGUUGUAAACCGCUUUCGCCUGUGACGAAGCGUGAGUGACGGUAAUGGGUAAAGAAGCACCAGCUAACUACGUG